Molecule: long non-coding RNA, 272 nt
Organism: Poeciliopsis prolifica (blackstripe livebearer)
Lineage: Eukaryota; Metazoa; Chordata; Actinopteri; Cyprinodontiformes; Poeciliidae
Exons: 2
Source: RefSeq, a predicted model, not a curated record
GUGGAAGCAGAUCCAGUGAUCGGAGACGAACAUCCGGCCCUGGUACAGGAUGUCUUUCUGCAGGGCGCAGGUGUAACCUGCAGGCAGGCCUGGACGGAACCAAUCAAUUGGUGAUCGGACUCACCUGGCUGUAGUGGAACCUCUUCCUGUCUAUCUUGGACUCCGGGUCGAUCUGGACCUCAGUCAGCAUGGAGUUGUCUAAAGUUUUUGACCUGCAUGGAUCAACAGGGAGAAUUAUCACCCAAAAUAAAAAAUACAGAUUUAUUCCUCCA